CUGGCUCCGUGCUGGUCCACCGAACGGUCGGCAUGCAAUCCGCUUCGGUUGUAGGGAGGUGUGCCCGUUCAUCAUUGGCUGGUUCUUGUGUCCCCUACCCGUUAUGGGGAAGCAGGACACUCAAUGCCAAUCCGUCAUGCGCCUCUUGUUUGGCGCAGGAGGACGAUGAGGCGCCCCCUGUGUUCCGUCGAGCCCUUGUUGGUCGGGCGGCCCAUGGGGGCGUGCAGUGCUCUCGGACCCAGCGAACAUUUCGGACGGGGACUCCGGUCCCGGUCCUAACAGAAAGCUUUCGUACGAUGUGUGACGGCCGUCCUCGCCCCUUGGUCGCCCCGGCGUGCCAAGGGCGAGGGGCGGCGUCCCCAAGGGCUGCUACCUGGUUGAUCCUGCCCAGUAGUCAUAUGCUUGUCUC
RNAcentral lists this unclassified non-coding RNA (409 nucleotides) under Calliandra eriophylla. RNAcentral's name for it is "partial contains external transcribed spacer and small subunit ribosomal RNA". The record is from RNAcentral. Lineage: Eukaryota; Viridiplantae; Streptophyta; Magnoliopsida; Fabales; Fabaceae.